Molecule: ribosomal RNA, 218 nt
Filed under: uncultured bacterium
Lineage: Bacteria
Description: partial 16S ribosomal RNA
Rfam family: Bacterial small subunit ribosomal RNA
Source: RNAcentral
ACGCUCGACACCUACGGGAGGCAGCAGUGAGGAAUAUUGGUCAAUGGGCGCUAGCCUGAACCAGCCAAGUAGCGUGAAGGAUGAAGGCUCUAUGGGUCGUAAACUUCUUUUAUAUAAGAAUAAAGUGCAGUAUGUAUACUGUUUUGUAUGUAUUAUAUGAAUAAGGAUCGGCUAACUCCGUGCUAGCAGCCGCGGUAAUCUGAGCGGGCUGGCAAGGC